RNAcentral lists this ribosomal RNA (476 nucleotides) under uncultured Comamonadaceae bacterium. Its description in RNAcentral is "bacterial SSU rRNA". It matches the Rfam family "Bacterial small subunit ribosomal RNA", at positions 338 to 806 of the family's 1533-position model. Lineage: Bacteria; Pseudomonadati; Pseudomonadota; Betaproteobacteria; Burkholderiales; Comamonadaceae. The record is from RNAcentral.
CCUACGGGAGGCAGCAGUGGGGAAUUUUGGACAAUGGGCGCAAGCCUGAUCCAGCCAUUCCGCGUGCAGGAUGAAGGCCUUCGGGUUGUAAACUGCUUUUGUACGGAACGAAAAGGCUCUGGCUAAUACCUGGGGCUCAUGACGGUACCGUAAGAAUAAGCACCGGCUAACUACGUGCCAGCAGCCGCGGUAAUACGUAGGGUGCGAGCGUUAAUCGGAAUUACUGGGCGUAAAGCGUGCGCAGGCGGUUAUGUAAGACAGAGGUGAAAUCCCCGGGCUCAACCUGGGAACUGCCUUUGUGACUGCAUGACUAGAGUACGGCAGAGGGGGAUGGAAUUCCGCGUGUAGCAGUGAAAUGCGUAGAUAUGCGGAGGAACACCGAUGGCGAAGGCAAUCCCCUGGGCCUGUACUGACGCUCAUGCACGAAAGCGUGGGGAGCAAACAGGAUUAGAUACCCUGGUAGUCCACGCCCUAAA